This 376-nucleotide long non-coding RNA is filed under the name Rattus norvegicus (Norway rat). Its description in RNAcentral is "long non-coding RNA NONRATT012577". Lineage: Eukaryota; Metazoa; Chordata; Mammalia; Rodentia; Muridae. The record is from RNAcentral.
UUUUGUCACCACAGGAAGGCGACGGGAGAAAAUCUUUUAAAGGAUCUCCCUAGUGAAAACACGAGACGCUGCCUGGUAGCCAAUGCCACACCCGGAGGAUCCCCUGCGUCCCCCCGCCCCCCACAGCUGCGCAUCCCGCAAUGCAGCAGCAGAGAAUGCUGCCAGCACCGCGUGGGAGGCAGGACUGGACAGGAGGCGCUGUGGGGACCCCGUUGUUUUUCCUACGAGUCCCAGGGAUUAGGGUGGGGCGGGAGCUGUGGCAUCCUUAUCGUCGCCCUGUCCUUAAUUCCAGGAAAAAACGCCAGACUCUAUCAUAUGACCCAGACACUAGAGGACCCCAUUGGCUAGCUCAAUUAAUAAAUUUGGGGAUGGAAAA